This 590-nucleotide ribosomal RNA is filed under the name Vibrio sp. T146. RNAcentral describes it as "bacterial SSU rRNA". It matches the Rfam family "Bacterial small subunit ribosomal RNA", at positions 69 to 652 of the family's 1533-position model. The record is from RNAcentral. Lineage: Bacteria; Pseudomonadati; Pseudomonadota; Gammaproteobacteria; Vibrionales; Vibrionaceae.
GAACCUUCGGGGAACGAUAUCGGCGUCGAGCGGCGGACGGGUGAGUAAUGCCUGGGAAAUUGCCCUGAUGUGGGGGAUAACCAUUGGAAACGAUGGCUAAUACCGCAUAAUAGCUUCGGCUCAAAGAGGGGGACCUUCGGGCCUCUCGCGUCAGGAUAUGCCCAGGUGGGAUUAGCUAGUUGGUGAGGUAAGGGCUCACCAAGGCGACGAUCCCUAGCUGGUCUGAGAGGAUGAUCAGCCACACUGGAACUGAGACACGGUCCAGACUCCUACGGGAGGCAGCAGUGGGGAAUAUUGCACAAUGGGCGCAAGCCUGAUGCAGCCAUGCCGCGUGUGUGAAGAAGGCCUUCGGGUUGUAAAGCACUUUCAGUCGUGAGGAAGGUAGUGUGUUUAAUAGAUGCAUUAUUUGACGUUAGCGACAGAAGAAGCACCGGCUAACUCCGUGCCAGCAGCCGCGGUAAUACGGAGGGUGCGAGCGUUAAUCGGAAUUACUGGGCGUAAAGCGCAUGCAGGUGGUGUGUUAAGUCAGAUGUGAAAGCCCGGGGCUCAACCUCGGAAUUGCAUUUGAAACUGGCAGACUAGAGUACUGU